Molecule: ribosomal RNA, 505 nt
Filed under: uncultured bacterium
Lineage: Bacteria
Description: bacterial SSU rRNA
Rfam family: Bacterial small subunit ribosomal RNA
Source: RNAcentral
UCUGGUUCAGGAUGAACGCUAGCGGCAGGCCUAACACAUGCAAGUCGCGGGGCAGCACGGGUAGCAAUACCUGGUGGCGACCGGCGCACGGGUGCGUAACGCGUAUGCAACCUGCCCCCAUCAGGGGAAUAGCCCGCCGAAAGGCGGAUUAAUGCCCAUAGGCCCAGGGCGCCGCAUGGCGCUAUGGGUAAAGCUCCGGCGGAUGGGGAUGGGCGUGCGUGCCAUUAGCUAGUGGGGCGGUAACGGCGCACCAAGGCGACGAUGGCUAGGGGGUCUGAGAGGGAUGGUCCCCCACACUGGUACUGAGACACGGACCAGACUCCUACGGGAGGCAGCAGUGAGGAAUAUUGGUCAAUGGGCGGAAGCCUGAACCAGCCAUGCCCGCGUGCAGGAUGACGGCCCUACGGGUUGUAAACUGCUUUUCCCCGGGAAGAAUAAGCCCCUCGUGAGGGGUGAUGCCGGUACCGGGGGAAUAAGGAUCGGCUAACUCCGUGCCAGCAGCAGC